GGAGUCUGGGCCGUGUCUCAGUCCCAAUGUGGCCGGCCAACCUCUCAGUCCGGCUACUGAUCGUCGCCUUGGUGGGCCGUUACCCCGCCAACUAGCUAAUCAGACGCGAGGCCAUCUCAGAGCGAUAAAUCUUUGGCAGUCAGAGCCAUGCGACCCAACUGCAUCAUGCGGUAUUAGCACAAAUUUCUCUGUGUUAUUCCCCUCUCCAAGGCAGGUUCCUCACGCGUUACUCACCCGUGCGCCGGUCGCCAUCACAGAUAGCAAGCUACCUGCAUGCUGCCCCUCGACUUGCAUGUGUUAAGCCUGUAGCUAGCGUUCAUC
RNAcentral lists this ribosomal RNA (321 nucleotides) under uncultured Ruminococcus sp. Its description in RNAcentral is "partial 16S ribosomal RNA". Lineage: Bacteria; Bacillati; Bacillota; Clostridia; Eubacteriales; Oscillospiraceae. The record is from RNAcentral.